RNAcentral lists this ribosomal RNA (492 nucleotides) under uncultured bacterium. RNAcentral describes it as "partial 16S ribosomal RNA". It matches the Rfam family "Bacterial small subunit ribosomal RNA", at positions 29 to 507 of the family's 1533-position model. The record is from RNAcentral.
AGUGAACGCUGGCGGUAGGCCUAACACAUGCAAGUCGAACGGCAGCACAGUAAGAGCUUGCUCUUACGGUUGGCGAGUGGCGGACGGGUGAGGAAUACAUCGGAAUCUACUUUUUCGGGGGGGAUAACGUAGGGAAACUUAUGCUAAUACCUCAUACGACCUACGGGUUAAAGCAGGGGAUCUUCGGACCUUUCGCGAUUGAAUGAGCCGAUGUCGGAUUAGCUAGUUGGCAGGGUAAGGGCCCACCAAGGCAACGACGCGUAGCUGGUCUGAGAGGAUGAUCAGCCACACUGGAACUGAGACACGGUCCAGACUCCUACGGGAGGCAGCAGUGGGGAAUAUUGGACAAUGGGCGAAAGCCUGAUCCAGCAAUGCCGCGUGGGUGAAGAAGGCCUUCGGGUUGUAAAGCCCUUUUGUUGGGAAAGAAAAGCAGCAGGUUAAUACCCCGCUGUUCUGACGGUACCCAAAGAGUAAGCACCGGCUAACUUCGUG